Molecule: ribosomal RNA, 253 nt
Filed under: uncultured bacterium
Lineage: Bacteria
Description: partial 16S ribosomal RNA
Rfam family: Bacterial small subunit ribosomal RNA
Source: RNAcentral
UACGAAGGGUGCAAACGUUGCUCGGAAUUAUUGGGCGUAAAGCGCACGUAGGCGGCUGGGCAAGUCGGAUGUGAAAUCCCUCGGCUCAACCAAGGAAGUGCAUCCGAAACUGCUGAGCUUGAGUACUUAAGAGGAUCGCGGAAUUCCCGGUGUAGAGGUGAAAUUCGUAGAUAUCGGGAGGAACACCAGUGGCGAAGGCGGGGACCUGGGAAGAUCCUGACGCUGAGGUGCGAAAGCCUGGGGAGCAAACAGG